RNAcentral lists this ribosomal RNA (254 nucleotides) under uncultured bacterium. RNAcentral describes it as "partial 16S ribosomal RNA". It matches the Rfam family "Bacterial small subunit ribosomal RNA", at positions 524 to 776 of the family's 1533-position model. The record is from RNAcentral.
UACGUAGGGUGCGAGCGUUGUCCGGAAUUAUUGGGCGUAAAGAGCUCGUAGGCGGUCUGUCGCGUCGAUCGUGAAAACUUGGGGCUUAACCCUGAGCUUGCGGUCGAUACGGGCAUGACUGGAGUUCGGCAGGGGAGACUGGAAUUCCUGGUGUAGCGGUGAAAUGCGCAGAUAUCUGGAGGAACACCGGUGGCGAAGGCGGCAUCCUGGACCAUUAUUGACGCUGAGGAGCGAAAGCCAGGGGAGCAAACGGG